RNAcentral lists this ribosomal RNA (478 nucleotides) under uncultured organism. Its description in RNAcentral is "partial 16S ribosomal RNA". It matches the Rfam family "Bacterial small subunit ribosomal RNA", at positions 332 to 801 of the family's 1533-position model. The record is from RNAcentral.
UACACUCCUACGGGAGGCAGCAGUGGGGAAUUUUGGACAAUGGGCGAAAGCCUGAUCCAGCCAUGCCGCGUGCAGGAUGAAGGCCUUCGGGUUGUAAACUGCUUUUGUACGGAACGAAACGGCCUUUUCUAAUAAAGAGGGCUAAUGACGGUACCGUAAGAAUAAGCACCGGCUAACUACGUGCCAGCAGCCGCGGUAAUACGUAGGGUGCAAGCGUUAAUCGGAAUUACUGGGCGUAAAGCGUGCGCAGGCGGUUAUGUAAGACAGUUGUGAAAUCCCCGGGCUCAACCUGGGAACUGCAUCUGUGACUGCAUAGCUAGAGUACGGUAGAGGGGGAUGGAAUUCCGCGUGUAGCAGUGAAAUGCGUAGAUAUGCGGAGGAACACCGAUGGCGAAGGCAAUCCCCUGGACCUGUACUGACGCUCAUGCACGAAAGCGUGGGGAGCAAACAGGAUUAGAUACCCGAGUAGUCCCAUGAU